GGAGUUAGCCGGUGCUUCUUCUGCGAGUAACGUCACAGAUGUAAGGUAUUAACUUACACCCUUUCCUCCUCGCUGAAAGUGCUUUACAACCCGAAGGCCUUCUUCACACACGCGGCAUGGCUGCAUCAGGGUUUCCCCCAUUGUGCAAUAUUCCCCACUGCUGCCUCCCGUAGGAGUCUGGGCCGUGUCUCAGUCCCAGUGUGGCUGAUCAUCCUCUCAGACCAGCUAGGGAUCGUCGCCUAGGUGAGCCUUUACCUCACCUACUAGCUAAUCCCACCUGGGCUUAUCCAUCAGCGCAAGGCCCGAAGGUCCCCUGCUUUCCCCCGUAGGGCGUAUGCGGUAUUAGCAGUCGUUUCCAACUGUUAUCCCCCACAAAUGGGCAAAUUCCCAGGAAUUACUCACCCGUCCGCCGCUCGUCAUCUUCAAAGCAAGCUUUUGAAAUGUUACCGCUCGACUUGCAUGUGUUAGGCCUGCCGCCAGCGUUCAAUCUGAGCCAUAAUCAAACUCUGA
Molecule: ribosomal RNA, 510 nt
Filed under: uncultured bacterium
Lineage: Bacteria
Description: partial 16S ribosomal RNA
Source: RNAcentral